UGCCGGAUGGUGUAAUGGUAGCACAAGCGGCUCUGGACCGCUUAGUCUAGGUUCAAAUCCUAGUCCGGCAG
RNAcentral lists this transfer RNA (71 nucleotides) under Elusimicrobia bacterium GWA2_69_24. Its description in RNAcentral is "tRNA-Gln". It matches the Rfam family "tRNA". From Rfam's summary of the family: Transfer RNA (tRNA) molecules are approximately 80 nucleotides in length. Their secondary structure includes four short double-helical elements and three loops (D, anti-codon, and T loops). RNAcentral also lists the same sequence under 1 other name. The record is from RNAcentral. Lineage: Bacteria; Pseudomonadati; Elusimicrobiota.